GACGAACGCUGGCGGCGUGCUUAACACAUGCAAGUCGAACGGAAAGGCCCUGCUUUUGUGGGGUGCUCGAGUGGCGAACGGGUGAGUAACACGUGAGUAACCUGCCCUUGACUUUGGGAUAACUUCAGGAAACUGGGGCUAAUACCGGAUAGGAGCUCCUGCUGCAUGGUGGGGGUUGGAAAGUUUCGGCGGUUGGGGAUGGACUCGCGGCUUAUCAGCUUGUUGGUGGGGUAGUGGCUUACCAAGGCUUUGACGGGUAGCCGGCCUGAGAGGGUGACCGGCCACAUUGGGACUGAGAUACGGCCCAGACUCCUACGGGAGGCAGCAGUGGGGAAUAUUGCACCAUGGGCGGAAGACUGAUGAAGCAACGCCGCGUGCGGGAUGACGGCCUUCGGGUUGUAGACCGCUUUCGCCUGUGACGAAGCGUGAGUGACGGUAAUGGGUAAAGAAGCACCGGCUAACUACGUG
This 468-nucleotide ribosomal RNA is filed under the name uncultured bacterium. Its description in RNAcentral is "partial 16S ribosomal RNA". It matches the Rfam family "Bacterial small subunit ribosomal RNA", at positions 28 to 507 of the family's 1533-position model. The record is from RNAcentral.